Long non-coding RNA from Fukomys damarensis (Damara mole-rat), 926 nucleotides. RefSeq lists it as uncharacterized. The transcript has 5 exons. The record is from RefSeq and is a predicted model, not a curated record. Lineage: Eukaryota; Metazoa; Chordata; Mammalia; Rodentia; Bathyergidae.
CGGGCACUUUCACUGGUGUUUUGGUCUCCAAGGAAACCAACGCCGACUACGGAGUGUCUGGGAGGACUAAUCUCACAAGUUUCAUGCAUGGCUUUGGAUGCCAUUGUACCCAGAUACCUUCCAGACUUGUAUCUCCAGCCUCGACCUCUUCCCUGAAUUCCAGCCACACCUCCAUCUGCCUACGCAGCCCCACUCAGGUGCCCAACAGCAGCUCUCCUAAUGGGAACAGAAGGCAGCCACUGCCAUUCAAGUUCUCCAUUGUCCCCUUGUGGACAGAAUGUUUUCAGUGGCACUACACAUUGCAGUACACAGAAGACACUACCAUGGCAAAAGUAGCACAGGUGAGCAAGAUGAAGCAGCCCUUCUGUCCUGCAAGUUUUGGUGAUGUGUGUGACAGAGGACCAGUUCUGCCAGCUCCGGCCUGCAUCCCUGACACCAUGAAGCUGCAGUACCAGCUCUGAGCUGCAUACUUCAGACUUAGGAGAAAAAGAAAGAAGCCUCAUUCGUAUGCAAGUUACCACUACUCUAGACAUCUCUGCUGCUCAGGCAGCUGCCAAACAUUGGAUUUCAGUCUUAGAAAAGCAAGACACCUCUCACUGUUUCCUUCUGUGACAGUAAUCCAACAGAAAUAAAUAAAAGCUGGUCUGUUUCCAUGGCCUCAGUGCCCAUCUGGAUUGUUCUGUUCCCACCGAACUUGCCCAGCCCCUGAAGCUCUUGAUUCAAUAAUCUGUCCAAUACAACCUGAGAAAAAUGAAAUUAAUCAUUUGUCCACACACAUUCCGACCAAAUUCUUACAAUACAAAAUAUUGUUAGUUAAAUAGAACCCAAUCCACAAGUCAGAUCUUUUCAAAAUACAGAUAUCUUUAAAGUUAGAGACAAAGCUGAGCAUGGUGUCCAUGCUUAUAAUCCCAGCAGCAUUUGGGAGG